UACGUAGGGAGCAAGCGUUGUCCGGAAUCAUUGGGCGUAAAGCGCGCGUAGGCGGCCCUGUAAGUCCGUUGUGAAAGUCAAAGGCUCAACCUUUGAAAGCCGAUGGAUACUGCAGGGCUAGAGUCCGGAAGAGGCGAGUGGAAUUCCUGGUGUAGCGGUGGAAUGCGCAGAUAUCAGGAGGAACACCAAUAGCGAAGGCACUCUACUGGGCUAUUACUGACACUCAGAGACGAAAGCUAGGGGAGCAAAUGGG
This 253-nucleotide ribosomal RNA is filed under the name uncultured prokaryote. RNAcentral's name for it is "partial 16S ribosomal RNA". It matches the Rfam family "Bacterial small subunit ribosomal RNA", at positions 524 to 776 of the family's 1533-position model. The record is from RNAcentral.